Molecule: ribosomal RNA, 467 nt
Filed under: uncultured Magnetospirillum sp.
Lineage: Bacteria; Pseudomonadati; Pseudomonadota; Alphaproteobacteria; Rhodospirillales; Rhodospirillaceae
Description: bacterial SSU rRNA
Rfam family: Bacterial small subunit ribosomal RNA
Source: RNAcentral
UUCGGCCAUAGUGGCGCACGGGUGAGUAACGCGUGGGAACCUGCCCAGCAGUGGGGGAUAACUUCGGGAAACCGGGGCUAAUACCGCAUACGCCCUUAGGGGGAAAGAUUUAUCGCUGUUGGAGGGGCCCGCGUCCGAUUAGUUUGUUGGUGGGGUAAUGGCCUACCAAGACUACGAUCGGUAGCUGGUCUGAGAGGAUGAUCAGCCACACUGGGACUGAGACACGGCCCAGACUCCUACGGGAGGCAGCAGUGGGGAAUACUGGACAAUGGGCGCAAGCCUGAUCCAGCAAUGCCGCGUGAGUGAUGAAGGCCUUAGGGUUGUAAAGCUCUUUCGGCGGGGACGAUGAUGACGGUACCCGCAGAAGAAGCCCCGGCUAACUUCGUGCCAGCAGCCGCGGUAAUACGAAGGGGGCUAGCGCUGUUCGGAAUUACUGGGCGUAAAGAGCACGUAGGCGGUUCGUUAAA